Felis catus (domestic cat) is the source of this 1938-nucleotide long non-coding RNA. RefSeq lists it as uncharacterized. The record is from RefSeq and is a predicted model, not a curated record. NCBI's taxonomy places the organism in Eukaryota, Metazoa, Chordata, Mammalia, Carnivora, Felidae. The transcript has 2 exons.
UCGGAAGCAGGCUCCAGGCUCUGAGCUUGUCAGCACAGAGCCCUAUGCGGGGCUCAAACUCAGGAGCCCUGAGAUCAUGACCUGAGCCGAAGUCCGACACUCAACCAACUGAGCCACCCGGGCGCCCUUAGAAGCUUCAGGUCUAUUUAAAAUGGAAUCUCCAGGAAAAUGUAUCACUUUUAUCCUGUGAAUUUGGAUGCCGCUUACCACAGUAUCUUGAACCGAUCCUACUAGACUCCUGGUUGGUUGUGAAAUCAGACAUGUAGGUGUUGCCUUUUAUUUUCUUAAACAGAAGAACCGAACAGAAAAUAGGUUGCUCGUAUUGAUGGGCCGAAAAGACGAGCCAAUUGCUUUUUUCUUUUGCCCGAGAAUAAUAUAUGCUCAGACAAGAGAGCUCAGGACAGAGGAGCACUGGACGGUGUUCCCCACGCUAACCAGAACUCCGCCACCCAGGACCAGCCACGGCUACUGCUGUGGCGCGGGUCUUUCUGGCCUCUUUUCUAUACACAUGAGCAGGUAAAUGAAUAUACUCACGCUAUAUACGGUAAGUGGCUUUUUCUCUUGGUAAUACGUUGUUAAUGUUUUUUCUGUACCUUCUAGGACAUUUCUUGUUGUUGUAAAGGAUUUCAUCACAUGGAUGUGCACUGUCCUUAUAGAUAAUUAGGAAGAGGGGUCUUACCUAUUUCUGCCUAUGAUCUUCGAAAGGCCCAUAAUUCUAUGGACCUUCAUAAAAAGUAAAGAUGUAUUCCCAAGUCCACUAAAACUCUUUGGAGAACAAGAGUGAUGGGUACUAAACUCAAGUAGAAAAAGGAAAGAGUUCCUACUGAGAUUCUAAGUGAAAUACGUUUCAAAAGCUGUGAACAGUGGUAGCGGGGGGAGGCCCCGCGGGUGAGCCCACGCCAAGGUGAAGUCUUCAACACGCAAGGAUGAAGACGGGGCUAUGUUUCUGUAAGAUGGCUCCUGAGAGGGUACAACCCCCUGCUUCACAGGUAACGUUAGGAUCGCCUGUUAGUAGCCUACGAACUAAUCAGGGGAUUUUCUUCGUGGACUGUGUUCUCAUAUUUAUAAUAAGAAUGACCAAAGCAGAUGUAUCAUUAUGAAUUGAUUCUGCCUACUUCGGGGCAGUUCCAGAAAGAACACGGUAUGUCAGUCCUGGAGAGUGAUAAACGGCUAACAUUCCCAUCCCUGUCUAAUGAGGAAGGGAAGGAAAGAUUCCGGGAGUGGGGAUCCUGGAUUAGAUACGUUAUAUGCUGAUCUCGCUCAUCUUUUAUCGGAAGCGUUAUCCGAAGUAUACUCAAAACCCUCACGUACACGGGCACCAGAGUGCAGAGGGUCAGGAGACGAAGUUAUUCGACCAUCUACUCAUCUCGAUCAGGAAAGCGAGAACAUUAACUUUAUGAAGAUCAAGAUGUUUUGAGUGACCAUUCCCUUUGUUACAGCAGUAUACAAUGACACAAUUUUAAGUUCGUAAACCCCCUAAUGGGACCUAAAGCUCUUGGGACAUUUGUUUUCUUAGUCAUGUGCUUUUUAAACCAUGAAAGUUUCUGACCAGUUUGACUCCACUAUGACACUGGCACUUAUCAGUUCACUGCAGUGAGCAUUUCCAGGUGACCUACUAUGUGUCAAGCAACACGGGGAGGGUGUGAUCUCCGAUCGCACUGGCUGACGCUGUGACUCAGGAUCCCCGCGCGCCUUGAGCAAGGACCCGGUGCAGCGGGCGUGCGCAGGGGUGGGCGGGGAGGGGGUGAUCUGGCCCGGCUGCCUCACCUCGGCCCGCACUAUUCUGUCCACGAUGGUCUCCAGUAUUUCCAGCUUACUGCACUUCACGACGCCCUCAAAGUACUGUGAGCGGUGCUGAAGGGCCUGGGUCACUGUGAUAUCUAGGUUAUUGUACGUCUUCUCAGCAGCAAGGUUCUGUAAUAAAGGGACGGUGAAUUA